UGGUAGGAAGUAUUUAAUGACAGGGAUUUGUAAAUUUAGAUCAAUAAAAGAUAUUACACGAAUUGUGGACAUUACACAUGUCAUUGACAUUACGACAAUAAUUCAGGCUUAGGAGAAAGUUAUAAAUGACUAAUUAGAUGCAAAGUUUACUUCCAGCUGAUUAUAGGUUAUAGUUAAUAGAAAACACAAUCUCUUGCCACCUUACUUGUAAAGUUCAUUGUAGGCAUCCAAAUAGGCUCUAAGGUCAAUAUCGUCAUCUUGUAAGAGCGCUCGAUCAAAAUGGUCGUGAACUAGUCUAAGAUCAAAAUACAGCAGUUCGGAGCCUUCCGCCAUUUUCGCGUUUCCGUAUCAGGCACAACUUGAUUAUCAGACUGAACAACCGCAUCGCUUAUAGAACCAAUCGAAGAAAACUACGUAUCAGCAUAGUAGCGUUCGCCGAGUGGGAGAGCGACUGCCGAGAAGUAGAAGAAACACGAAGCCACGGUGGCUGGUCGACAGACACCCUUACGAAUCUUUUCUUCCCUCACAGUCUCCUUUUGUUCCGGUUGUCAAGGCUGACAGAGAGUGCAAGCAGUCGGAGACGAGAAACAAUUAUUCUUCUCCGAAGAAAGAGGCGAAUAUUAAAUCUGGCUGAACACUCGGAAUCUUUCGAACACAGUCUCGCGGAGGCCGUGCUCAUUUGCUCGGGAGGAUGGCAGUCGCCGUCGUUGCUUGGUGACCUCGUAGAUUAAAGACGAGCGGCAAGUACGACGGUCCCAGGCGACCCUUUAUGUCGAGCCACGUUUCUACGCUGCUUGAACUAUAUAGAAGAGAAGAUGGCGAGGAGAGCGAGGGGCGAAAGGUAGCCGGGUUGAAGAUAGGAAGGCGACGGCUGGGUGGAAGGAAGCAAGGUGGUAAGACUCACGGCAGGAUGGCGGUUGGUUG
RNAcentral lists this unclassified non-coding RNA (924 nucleotides) under Bombus terrestris (buff-tailed bumblebee). RNAcentral describes it as "misc RNA ENSBTSG00005038399.1". The record is from RNAcentral. Lineage: Eukaryota; Metazoa; Arthropoda; Insecta; Hymenoptera; Apidae.